ACGAAGGGGGCUAGCGUUGCUCGGAAUCACUGGGCGUAAAGCGCACGUAGGCGGCGAUUUAAGUCAGAGGUGAAAGCCCGGGGCUCAACCCCGGAACUGCCUUUGAGACUGGAUUGCUUGAAUCCGGGAGAGGUGAGUGGAAUUCCGAGUGUAGAGGUGAAAUUCGUAGAUAUUCGGAAGAACACCAGUGGCGAAGGCGGCUCACUGGACCGGCAUUGACGCUGAGGUGCGAAAGCGUGGGGAGCAAACAGGA
This 253-nucleotide ribosomal RNA is filed under the name uncultured prokaryote. RNAcentral's name for it is "partial 16S ribosomal RNA". It matches the Rfam family "Bacterial small subunit ribosomal RNA", at positions 525 to 777 of the family's 1533-position model. The record is from RNAcentral.